This 200-nucleotide long non-coding RNA is filed under the name Elaeis guineensis (African oil palm). RNAcentral describes it as "long non-coding RNA (EGUI_LNC045117)". The record is from RNAcentral. Lineage: Eukaryota; Viridiplantae; Streptophyta; Magnoliopsida; Arecales; Arecaceae.
GAGUACUUGAAUGAGAUUUUAGCAGAGUUUUGAGAUAGUGUUUAGAGCUUAGAGGAGAACGUAUCUGGGGGGUCUCUUUUAUAGAUGGGAGAGCGUAACCGAUUAACAGCGACGUCCGUAACUGCCUAGUAGUGGGUCGUUCGGGGUCACGUGGAGUUUGUUAUGGAGAGUAGUGGUGUCCGUUGUCGUGACUUGCCGGA